RNAcentral lists this transfer RNA (84 nucleotides) under Phycisphaerae bacterium. RNAcentral describes it as "tRNA-Tyr". It matches the Rfam family "tRNA". Rfam says of the family: Transfer RNA (tRNA) molecules are approximately 80 nucleotides in length. Their secondary structure includes four short double-helical elements and three loops (D, anti-codon, and T loops). Further hydrogen bonds mediate the characteristic L-shaped molecular structure. tRNAs have two regions of fundamental functional importance: the anti-codon, which is responsible for specific mRNA codon recognition, and the 3' end, to which the tRNAs corresponding amino acid is attached (by aminoacyl-tRNA synthetases). tRNAs cope with the degeneracy of the genetic code in two manners: having more than one tRNA (with a specific anti-codon) for a particular amino acid; and 'wobble' base-pairing, i.e. permitting non-standard base-pairing at the 3rd anti-codon position. Lineage: Bacteria; Pseudomonadati; Planctomycetota; Phycisphaerae. The record is from RNAcentral.
GGGCGGUUGCCAGAGCGGCCAAUUGGGACGGGCUGUAAACCCGUUGGUGUAAUGCCUACGUUGGUUCGAAUCCAACACCGCCCA